Long non-coding RNA from Oncorhynchus keta (chum salmon), 431 nucleotides. RefSeq lists it as uncharacterized. The transcript is spliced from 4 exons. The record is from RefSeq and is a predicted model, not a curated record. Lineage: Eukaryota; Metazoa; Chordata; Actinopteri; Salmoniformes; Salmonidae.
AUUAGAAGUUAAACAGAUCUUUUCUGAUUGGACAGUGAGAUGAGGUCCCGCCUGCCCAUUAGAAGUUAAACAGAUCUUUUCUGAUUGGACAGUGAGAUGAGGUCCCGCCUGCCCAUACGAAGUUAAACAGAUCUUUUCUGAUUGGACAGUGAGAUGAGGUCCCGCCUGCCCAUAAGAAGUUAAACAGAUGUUUUCUGAUUGGACAGUGAGAUGAGGUCCCGCCUGCCCAUAAGAAGUUAAACAGAUGUUUUCUGAUUGGACAGUGAGAUGAGGUCCCGCCUGCCCAUAAGAAGUUAAACAGAUGUUUUCUGAUUGGACAGUGAGAUGAGGUCCCGCCUGCCCAUUAGAAGUUAAACAGAUCUUUUCUGAUUGGACAGUGAGAUGAGGUCCCGCCUGCCCAUUAGAAGUUAAACAGAUCUUUUCUGAUUGGA